Molecule: ribosomal RNA, 695 nt
Filed under: Gyrodinium cf. ochraceum AR-2015
Lineage: Eukaryota; Dinophyceae; Gymnodiniales; Gymnodiniaceae
Description: LSU rRNA
Rfam family: Eukaryotic large subunit ribosomal RNA
Source: RNAcentral
GGAUUCCCUCAGUAAUGGCGAAUGAACAGGGAUGAGCUCAGCAUUGAAAUCUGGGCCCUCGGCCCUGAAUUGUAAUCUCGAGAUGUGCAACCAACGGAGGCGCAGAUGUAAGCCUCUUGGAAAAGAGCACCAGCGAGGGUGAGAGUCCCGUUCGUCAUUUGCAGUCCCCCGUGUACGGUGUACUUUCUAAGAGUCACGUUCCUCGGGCUUGGAGCGCCAAAGGUGGUAAAUUUCAUCUAAAGCUAAAUAUAGGUUUGAGACCGAUAGCAAACAAGUACCAUGAGGGAAAGAUGAAAAGGACUUUGGAAAGAGAGUUAAAAGUGCCUGAAAUUGCUGAAAGGGAAGCGAAUGGAACCAGUGUUUCUUGGCGAGAUUGUUACACGCUAAAUUGAUGGUCGGUUGCUUCAACGCAAGUGCUGCAGCUGGCUCUGAAAUGGACGUGUGUGGUGCUUCUUGCCUUGCCUGUCAACGUCAAUUUGGAGUUGAGGAAAACUCAAGGGACAUGGUAGUUUGCCCAUGGGUGACCGAACGUGCCUUGCAGAACUCAUCUUUGGAUUGAAGACCUCGUGUCCGGUUGCAACGCCCCCCUCUCGGGCUCUCAGCCUUGGGAAACUCAGCUCGGCAGCGGCCCUCCUUAUGGGGGAGCGUUCCUUGACGCGAAGAUGGUGACAAAAUGGUUUCACUCGACCCGUCUU